Molecule: ribosomal RNA, 477 nt
Filed under: uncultured bacterium
Lineage: Bacteria
Description: partial 16S ribosomal RNA
Rfam family: Bacterial small subunit ribosomal RNA
Source: RNAcentral
AUGCACGCUGGCGGCGUGCUUAACACAUGCAAGUCGAACGGGAAACCUUUUAUUGAAGCUUCGGCAGAUUUAGCUGGUUUCUAGUGGCGGACGGGUGAGUAACGCGUGGGUAACCUGCCUUAUACAGGGGGAUAACAGUCAGAAAUGGCUGCUAAUACCGCAUACGCGCACAGAGCUGCAUGGCUCAGUGUGAAAAACUCCGGUGGUAUAAGAUGGACCCGCGUUGGAUUAGCUGGUUGGUGGGGUAACGGCCCACCAAGGCGACGAUCCAUAGCCGGCCUGAGAGGGUGAACGGCCACAUUGGGACUGAGACACGGCCCAGACUCCUACGGGAGGCAGCAGUGGGGAAUAUUGCACAAUGGGGGAAACCCUGAUGCAGCGACGCCGCGUGAAGGAAGAAGUAUCUCGGUAUGUAAACUUCUAUCAGCAGGGAAGAUAAUGACGGUACCUGACUAAGAAGCCCCGGCUAACUACGUG